GGGUCAGUAGGUUGGUCGUGCCACAGGUAUGAACUGGCCUCACUGAUUCCUCCUUCCUGAUGAACCGUAAUGCCAUUAAUUUGGUGUUGCGGGGAGACUGGACUGUUACUUUGAAAAAAUUAGAGUGUUUAAAGCAGGCUCGCGCUUGAAUACAUUAGCAUGGAAUAAUGAAAUAGGACG
Molecule: ribosomal RNA, 180 nt
Filed under: uncultured Glomeromycotina
Lineage: Eukaryota; Fungi; Glomeromycota
Description: partial small subunit ribosomal RNA
Source: RNAcentral